CCUACGGGUGGCAGCAGUGAGGAAUAUUGGUCAAUGGACGAGAGUCUGAACCAACCAAGUAGCGUGAAGGAUGACUGCCCUAUGGGUUGUAAACUUCUUUUAUAAAGGAAUAAAACGAGGCACGUGUGCCUUUUUGCAUGUACUUUAUGAAUAAGGAUCGGCUAACUCCGUGCCAGCAGCCGCGGUAAUACGGAGGAUCCGAGCGUUAUCCGGAUUUAUUGGGUUUAAAGGGAGCGUAGAUGGGUUGUUAAGUCAGUUGGGAAAGUUUGGGGCUCAACCGGAAAAUUGCAAUUGAUACUGGCAGUCUUGAGGACAGUUGAGGUAGGCGGAAUUCGUGGUGUAGCGGUGAAAUGCUUAGAUAUCACGAAGAACCCCGAUUGCGAAGGCAGCUUACUAAACUGGGACUGACAUUGAUGCUCGAAAGUGUGGGUAUCAAACAGGAUUAGAUACCCUAGUAGUC
This 460-nucleotide ribosomal RNA is filed under the name uncultured bacterium. RNAcentral describes it as "partial 16S ribosomal RNA". It matches the Rfam family "Bacterial small subunit ribosomal RNA", at positions 338 to 795 of the family's 1533-position model. The record is from RNAcentral.